ACGAACGCUGGCGGCGUGCUUAACACCUGCAAGUCGAACGCUGAAGCUCAGCUUUUGUUGGGUGGAUGAGUGGCGAACGGGUGAGUAACACGUGAGUAACCUGCCUCCUUCUUUGGGAUAACGCCCGGAAACGGGUGCUAAUACUGGAUAUUCACUGGUCUUCGCAUGGGGGUUGGUGGAAAGGGUUUUUCUGGUGGGGGAUGGGCUCGCGGCCUAUCAGCUUGUUGGUGGGGUGAUGGCCUACCAAGGCUUUGACGGGUAGCCGGCCUGAGAGGGUGACCGGUCACAUUGGGACUGAGAUACGGCCCAGACUCCUACGGGAGGCAGCAGUGGGGAAUAUUGCACAAUGGGCGCAAGCCUGAUGCAGCGACGCCGCGUGAGGGAUGGAGGCCUUCGGGUUGUGAACCUCUUUCGCUCAUGGUCAAGCCGCAACAAUGGUUGUGGUGAGGGUAGUGGGUAAAGAAGCGCCGGCUAACUACGUG
RNAcentral lists this ribosomal RNA (482 nucleotides) under uncultured bacterium. RNAcentral's name for it is "partial 16S ribosomal RNA". It matches the Rfam family "Bacterial small subunit ribosomal RNA", at positions 29 to 507 of the family's 1533-position model. The record is from RNAcentral.